This 968-nucleotide long non-coding RNA is filed under the name Malus domestica (apple). Its description in RNAcentral is "long non-coding RNA (MDOM_LNC000224)". Lineage: Eukaryota; Viridiplantae; Streptophyta; Magnoliopsida; Rosales; Rosaceae. The record is from RNAcentral.
GGAAUGAAAAGGACAUGCUUGGAACACAAGGUUGGGAUGAAAUUGAAGAGUUCGAGAUUUAAGGUUUCCUACUUGAAGUAGGAAAGCUAAGCCUAAAAGUUUCCAUUUUGGGUUGAUCUUUCCUAAAUUGGAAUUGGCAACCAAAGUUUCUAAAGUUGGAAGUUUCUAUUCUUGGAGGUUUCCAUUUUCGUGAGUUUCUAUUCUCGGCUUUGGGCUUUAGAUGACUUAAACCCUAAUUCCUUGUGAACCCUAAGUCCAUGCCGCAUCCUAGGGCCUAAUCAUUCAAUUUCUGCCAUGUUAAACCCUAAUCCAUUUCUCCUAAGCCCAUGCCGCACAUGUCCAUCCUAGAAGCCCUAUUUCACAAACCUUAACCCUAGUCCACUUAAGUGCCGCACCUAAACCCUAGCCCAUUGUUUCAAUCUGAUUUAAUUAGGGUUUUAGGUGCCUAUAUAUAGGUGUUUUACCCCCUUUGCCGCACAUCACAUCCCUCUCCACAAAUCAGAAAUCAUCUAAACCCUAUUCCCCCCACCUUGCCGCAGCCACCAUCACCCAUACACCUCCUUGCCGCAGCCUUCAUCCAUUCCAGCCACUUCCCAACCUUGCCGCAGCCACCAUCCACCUCCAUACACCAUUCUACACUUCCAUACACCACCCACACACCUUGCCGCACCACCAUAUCAUCCUAACUCCAUUCUUAAACCAAAACCACAUCCAAAAACCCCCAAAACCAUCUCUGCCGCAGCAAGGAGAAGAGAAGAGGAGCUUGACGUGCAGAAAUUCAAAGUGGAAUUCUUGGGCGUUUUAGGUGUAAUCUUUCUUAUGUCUUCGAUGUUUCAAUUCAAUAAACUUUAUGUUGUGAGUAUGAGAAACUAAACCCCCUUGGUUGGGGGGUGAUUCGAAACCAUGUACAUGCUUGCAAUUUGAUUCGAUUACAUUCAGUUGUUAUUUCAUAAGUUGUGGAUUCAAUU